RNAcentral lists this ribosomal RNA (497 nucleotides) under uncultured bacterium. RNAcentral describes it as "partial 16S ribosomal RNA". It matches the Rfam family "Bacterial small subunit ribosomal RNA", at positions 28 to 507 of the family's 1533-position model. The record is from RNAcentral.
GACGAACGCUGGCGGCGUGCCUAAUACAUGCAAGUUGAGCGCUGAAGGUUGGUACUUGUACCAACUGGAUGAGCAGCGAACGGGUGAGUAGCGCGUGGGGAAUCUGCCUUUGAGCGGGGGACAACAUUUGGAAACGAAUGCUAAUACCGCAUAAAAACUUUAAACACAAGUUUUAAGUUUGAAAGAUGCAAUUGCAUCACUCAAAGAUGAUCCCGCGUUGUAUUAGCUAGUUGGUGAGGUAAAGGCUCACCAAGGCGAUGAUACAUAGCCGACCUGAGAGGGUGAUCGGCCACAUUGGGACUGAGACACGGCCCAAACUCCUACGGGAGGCAGCAGUAGGGAAUCUUCGGCAAUGGACGAAAGUCUGACCGAGCAACGCCGCGUGAGUGAAGAAGGUUUUCGGAUCGUAAAACUCGGUUGGUAGAGAAGAACGUUGGUGAGAGUGGAAAGCUCAUCAAGUGACGGUAACUACCCAGAAAGGGACGGCUAACUACGUG